RNAcentral lists this long non-coding RNA (17591 nucleotides) under Vitis vinifera (wine grape). Its description in RNAcentral is "long non-coding RNA (VVIN_LNC003280)". Lineage: Eukaryota; Viridiplantae; Streptophyta; Magnoliopsida; Vitales; Vitaceae. The record is from RNAcentral.
CUACCCAGAAGAGUGGCUCAAGUUCACAUUCAGAAUUUAUUUGUUGAAAGAGUAUCUCCACUUUAUCACAAUCGAGCACUUCCAAUUCUUUCAGAAGUGGCCAGCUUGAACUAAACCUUCUAGAGCAAAAUCUUUUGAGUUGGUGUAAACCGGAGAGUGUGAGAGAGGUAAGGUUAGGGAAUGAGAGUAAAGGUGCUGCUUCAUCUUCAUUUUCAUUGGCAACAAUUGCCUCCACUCCACUCUCCGAUAUAUAAAGGUCCUCAAGUUGCACAAGAGCACUCGCCACAGAAACCGGAAAAAGGUUUAGCAAUUUGUUGCAUCCCCUUACUUGCAAUUUCCUUAAUUUGGAAAAUGAAUUUGCUGGAAGUUGGUCAGGCCACAAUGCUCUUAUAUUAUCUAGUCCGCGUACAGACAAGGACUCCAAACCUGGGAGUGCAACCUGUGCAAUUGAUGAUCCCUUUAGUUAAUAAUAUAUACAUAUACAUUCCUAAUAAUUAGACACAUGUAAAUAGAAAAUAAGAGGUUAAAGGAGAAUAUAUCAGUAUAACAAAGCACAAAAUUUAAACUCUAUUCAAGAAGAUCCAGAAAGAGAAAAGAAAACGCCUUUUGAUUUUGAAGAUCCAAUGAAACUUUAAAAAAAAAAAAAAAAACCUCCAAAUUUUGCUUUCCAAAUGAGGUAAUAGGAGGAUAUUUUUAUUUUAUUUUUUCUUUGCCUCUCUUUCAAAUUUGAUUAACUUCCAUGGAAAACGUAUUUUAACUAGCCAUGGAAAAUGGAUUUUUUUUUUAAAACUUUUAUAUAAGAUACAAGAACUCUUAGAGGGUUACAUUAUGUAAGUAAUACUUUAAAAAAAAUGUUUAAAAAUAUUGUGAUAUCCAAAAAUUUUACUACCUCGGAUUUUAAAUUUUAAAAAAAUUAUUUUUAAAGAAAUAAGGUAAAUCUAUACUUUUUCGUAUAAGAUAUUCUACCUUUAUAUACAAAUUUCUGAUUUUUUUUUUAAAGUGUAUCCAAAUGGACACUAAACUAUCUAGUUUCGAAUUUUUACAACUUUGAAUUGGAUUUUAUGGUAAACUAAUUGACAAUAUAACGCAUGGAUUCAUCUUAGAUUCCAUCUAUAAAUUUUUUAAUUAUCUAAUAUAAGACAUUAUAUUAAUGGGUUGAAUUAAUAAUGUAAUUAUAAUUUAUUUGGCAACUUUCUUCCUUCAAAUAUAUAAGACGAAAAUAUAUUUUAAAAAAUAAAAAAGAAUGAUAAAAAAUAGAAAAUAAAAAUAGCUUAUUUUAUUGUUUUUCUAAGAUGAUUUUGUAGAGUGUUAGUUUAUAGUUUAACUUUAUUUCAUUUUACUUUUAACAUUAUUUAUUGAGGUAUGUUCUUUUUUGAAACUCUUGUUUAGAUUUUAUAGAGAAUAUAAAUUUUAAGAAAAAAAAUGAAAUUUAAAUAAAAUAAGAAUAAAGAAAGGCAAAAGGUGGAUGAAUUUUUUGAAGGCAAAAGUUUGAUAAUUUGGCACUGUCAUGUAAUGGGUGAAAUUUUUAAAUACUCAACAAAGGCUAGUGAAAUUUAAAUUAAAACCUUGACAUGUACCUUUUCGACCAAAAUCUUUGGAGUUGGUGUAAAGUUUUGAGUAUGAGAGAGGUUAGUCUAGGGAAUAUUAUUGCACAUUAGUUCAAAUAAAACAUCAACAUUUUUUUUUGUUAAAUUCUAAAUGAACACCACUAUAAAUUAAUGCGAUUUUGUAUGCUCAAUUAAAUAAACUCGUUCUUAAGGCAUCACAUGAAGUGUUUAAGUCUAAUUAAUAUUAAUUAAAAAUGAUUAUAUCAAAAAAAAUCCAAAGUAAUUUUUUUUUAUCAUAAGUCAAGUAGGAUAGUUUUAUAAAUAAUUGGUUCUAGUUUCUAGUAUUAUUGUACACAAUCGCUAUGUUUGUUGCACCUCCAAAAAAUCUACUACUUGUAAUUAAUUGUAUAUUAUUCUCCAUAUUCACAUCAGUUUAUGUAGUAUGAUUAAUUUAGCAACAAAAUAUAAGUUUACUUGAAAUCGCUUUAAAUUCCUAUGAUAUUAAAGUUUAAGAUUAAAACAAUGUAACAUUAGCCAAAAAGACUAAGAUCUAUAAUGUAACAAAUAAAAUUUAGAAAAUUCAAGGCAGGGUAAACUCGCACCUGUUCUACCCAGAAGAGUGGCUCAAGUUCACAUUCAGAAUUUAUUUGUUGAAAGAGUAUCUCCACUUUAUCACAAUCGAGCACUUCCAAUUCUUUCAGAAGUAGCCAGCUUGAACUAAACCUUCUAGAGCAAAAUCUUUUGAGUUGGUGUAAACCGGAGAGUGUGAGAGAGGUAAGGUUAGGGAAUAAGAGUAAAGGUGCUGCUUCAUCUUCAUUUUCAUUGGCAACAAUUGCCUCCACUCCACUCUCCGAUAUAUAUAGGUCCUCAAGUUGCACAAGAGCACUCGCCACAGAAACCCGAAAAAGGUUUAGCAAUUUGUUGAAUCCCCUUACAUGCAAUUUCCUUAAUUUGGAAAAUGAAUUUGUUGGAAGUUGGUCAGGCCACAAUGCUCUUAUAUUAUCCAGUCCGCAUACAUACAAGGACUCCAAGCCUUGGAGUGCAACCUGUGCAAUUGAUAAUCCCUUUGGUUAAUAAUAUAUACAUAUACAUUCCUAAUGAUUAGACACAUGUAAAUAGAAAAUAAGAGGUUAAAGGAGAAUAUAUCAGUAUAACAAAGCACAAAAUUUAAACUAGAUUAAAGAAGAUCAAGAAAGAGAAAAGAAAAGAAAAAGCCUCCAGAUUUUGAAGAUACAAUGAAACUUAAAAAAAAAAAAAAAAAACCUCCAAAUUUUCCUUUCGAAAUGAGGUAAUAAGAGGAUUUUUUUUUUCUUUUUUCUUUGCCUCUCUUUCAAAUUUGAUUAACUUCUAUGGAAAACGUAUUUUAACUAGUUAUGGAAAACGGAUUUUUUUUUUUAAAAACUUUUAUAUAAGAUACAAGUAAUACUUUAAAAAAAUUGUGAUAUCUAAAAAAUUUUUUGAAAAAUUAUUUUUAAAGAAAUAAGGUAAAUCUAUACUUUUUGUAUAAGAUGUUCUACCUUUGUAUUCAAAUUUCUGAUUUUUUUUUUUUAAAGUGUAUCCAAAUGCACACUAAACUAUCUAGUUUUUAAUUGUUACAACUUUGAAUUGGAUUUUAUGGUAAACUAAUUUACAAGUUAAUGCAUAGAUUCAUCUUAGAUUCCAUCUAUAAAUUUUUUUAAUUAUCUAAUAUAAGACAGUAUAUUAAUGGGUUGAAUUAAUAAUGUAAUUAUAAUUUAUUUGGCAACUUUCUUCCUUCAAAUAUAUAAAAUGAAAAUAAAUUUUAAAAAAUAAAAAAUAAAAAAAAGAUUUUUUUUAUAGUUUUUCUAAGAUGAUUUUGUAGAGUUCUGUUAGUUUAUAGUUUUCACUUUAUUUAUUGAGGUAUGUUCUUUUUUGAAACUCUUGUUUAGAUUUUAUUGAGAAUAUAAAUUUUAAGAAAAAAAAUAAAAUUUAAAUAAAAUAAGAAUAAAGAAAGGCAAAAGCUGGAUGAAUUUUUUUAAGGCAAAAGUUUGAUAAUUUGGCACUCUCAUGUAAUGGGUGAAAUUUUUAAAUACUCAACAAAGGCUAGUGAAAUUUAAAUUAAAACCAUGACAUGUACCUUUUAGACCAAAAUCUUUGGAGUUGGUGUAAUGUUUUGAGUAUGAGAGAGGUUAGUCUAGGGAAUAUUAUUGCACAUUAGUUCAAAUAAAACAUCAACAUUUUUUUUUGUUAAAUUCUAAAUGAACACCACUAUAAAUUAAUGCGAUUUUGUAUGCUCAAUUAAAUAAACUCGUUCUUAAGGCAUCACAUGAAGUGUUUAAGUCUAAUUAAUAUUAAUUAAAAAUGAUUAUAGUAAAAAAAAUCCAAAGUAAUUUUUUUUUAUCAUAAGUCAAGUAGGAUAGUUUUAUAAAUAAUUGGUUCUAGUUUCUAGUAUUAUUGUAGACAAUCGCUAUGUUUGUUGCACCUCCAAAAAAUCUACUACUUGUAAUUAAUUGUAUAUUAUUCUCCAUAUUCACAUCAGUUUAUGUAGUAUGAUUAAUUUAGCAACAAAAUAUAAGUUUACUUGAAAUGGCUUUAAAUUCCUAUGAUAUUAAAGUUUAAGAUUAAAACAAUGUAACAUUAGCAAAAAAGAUUAAGAUCUAUAAUGUAACAAAUAAAAUUUAGAAAAUUCAAGGCAGGGUAAACUCGCACCUGUUCUACCCAGAAGAGUGGCUCAAGUUCACAUUCAGAAUUUAUUUGUUGAAAGAGUAUCUCCACUUUAUCACAAUCGAGCACUUCCAAUUCUUUCAGAAGUAGCCAGCUUGAACUAAACCUUCUAGAGCAAAAUCUUUUGAGUUGGUGUAAACCGGAGAGUGUGAGAGAGGUAAGGUUAGGGAAUAAGAGUAAAGGUGCUGCUUCAUCUUCAUUUUCAUUGGCAACAAUUGCCUCCACUCCACUCUCUGAUAUAUAUAGGUCCUCAAGUUGCACAAGAGCACUCGCCACAGAAACCCGAAAAAGGUUUAGCAAUUUGUUGAAUCCCCUUACAUGCAAUUUCCUUAAUUUGGAAAAUGAAUUUGUUGGAAGUUGGUCAGGCCACAAUGCUCUUAUAUUAUCCAGUCCGCAUACAUACAAGGACUCCAAGCCUGGGAGUGCAACCUGUGCAAUUGAUAAUCCCUUUGGUUAAUAAUAUAUACAUAUACAUUCCUAAUAAUUAGACACAUGUAAAUAGAAAAUAAGAGGUUAAAGGAGAAUAUAUCAGUAUAACAAAGCACAAAAUUUAAACUAGAUUAAAGAAGAUCAAGAAAGAGAAAAGAAAAGAAAAAGCCUCCAGAUUUUGAAGAUACAAUGAAACUUAAAAAAAAAAAAAAAAAACCUCCAAAUUUUCCUUUCGAAAUGAGGUAAUAAGAGGAUUUUUUUUUUAUUUUUUCUUUGCCUCUCUUUCAAAUUUGAUUAACUUCUAUGGAAAACGCAUUUUAACUAGUUAUGGAAAACGGAUUUUUUUUUUUUAAAACUUUUAUAUAAGAUACAAGUAAUACUUUAAAAAAAUUGUGAUAUCUAAAAAAUUUUUUGAAAAAUUAUUUUUAAAGAAAUAAGGUAAAUCUAUACUUUUUGUAUAAGAUGUUCUACCUUUGUAUUCAAAUUUCUGAUUUUUUUUUUUAAAGUGUAUCCAAAUGCACAAUAAACUACCUAGUUUUUAAUUGUUACAACUUUGAAUUGGAUUUUAUGGUAAACUAAUUUACAAGUUAAUGCAUGGAUUCAUCUUAGAUUCCAUCUAUAAAUUUUUUUAAUUAUCUAAUAUAAGACAUUAUAUUAAUGGGUUGAAUUAAUAAUGUAAUUAUAAUUUAUUUGGCAACUUUCUUCCUUCAAAUAUAUAAAAUGAAAAUAAAUUUUAAAAAAUAAAAAAAAUGAAAAAAUAAAAAAUAAAAAAAAGAUUUUUUUUAUAGUUUUUCUAAGAUGAUUUUGUAGAGUACUGUUAGUUUAUAGUUUUCACUUUAUUUAUUGAGGUAUGUUCUUUUUUGAAACUCUUGUUUAGAUUUUAUUGAGAAUAUAAAUUUUAAGAAAAAAAAUGAAAUUUAAAUAAAAUAAGAAUAAAGAAAGGCAAAAGGUGGAUGAAUUUUUUUACGGCAAAAGUUUGAUAAUUUGGCACUAUCAUGUAAUGGGUGAAAUUUUUAAAUACUCAACAAAGGCUAGUGAAAUUUAAAUUAAAACCUUGACAUGUACCUUUUAGACCAAAAUCUUUGGAGUUGGUGUAAAGUUUUGAGUAUGAGAGAGGUUAGUCUAGGGAAUAUUAUUGCACAUUAGUUCAAAUAAAACAUCAACAUUUUUUUUUGUUAAAUUCUAAAUGAACACCACUAUAAAUUAAUGCGAUUUUGUAUGCUCAAUUAAAUAAACUCGUUCUUAAGGCAUCACAUGAAGUAUUUAAGUCUAAUUAAUAUUAAUUAAAAAUGAUUAUAGUAAAAAAAAUCCAAAGUAAUUUUUUUUUAUCAUAAGUCAAGUAGGAUAGUUUUAUAAAUAAUUGGUUCUAGUUUCUAGUAUUAUUGUAGACAAUCGCUAUGUUUGUUGCACCUCCAAAAAAUCUACUACUUGUAAUUAAUUGUAUAUUAUUCUCCAUAUUCACAUCAGUUUAUGUAGUAUGAUUAAUUUAGCAACAAAAUAUAAGUUUACUUGAAAUGGCUUUAAAUUCCUAUGAUAUUAAAGUUUAAGAUUAAAACAAUGUAACAUUAGCCAAAAAGAUUAAGAUCUAUAAUGUAACAUAUAAAAUUUAGAAAAUUCAAGGAAGGGUAAACUCGCACCUGUUCUACCCAGAAGAGUGGCUCAAGUUCACAUUCAGAAUUUAUUUGUUGAAAGAGUAUCUCCACUUUAUCACAAUAGAGCACUUCCAAUUCUUUCAGAAGUGGCCAGCUUGAACUAAACCUUCUAGAGCAAAAUCUUUUGAGUUGGUGUAAACCGGAGAGUGUGAGAGAGGUAAGGUUAGGGAAUAAGAGUAAAGGUGCUGCCUCAUCUUCAUUUUCAUUGGCAACAAUUGCCUCCACUCCACUCUGAAAUAUAUUUAGGUUCUCAAGUUGCACAAGAGCACUCGCCACAGAAACCGGAAAAAGGUUUAGCAAUUUGUUGCAUCCCCUUACUUGCAAUUCCCUUAAUUUGGAAAAUGAAUUUGCUGGAAGUUGGUCAGGCCACAAUGCUCUUAUAUUAUCUAGUCCGCAUACAGAAAAGGACUCCAAGCCUGGGAGUGCAACCUGUGCAAUUGAUGAUCCCUUUAGUUAAUAAUAUAUACAUAUACAUUCCUAAUAAUUAGCACAUGUAAAUAGAAAAUAAGAGGUUAAAGGAGAAUAUAUCAGUAUAACAAAGCACAAAAUUUAAACUAGAUUCAAGAAGAUCAAGAAAGAGAAAAGAAAAGAAAAAGCCUCCAGAUUUUAAAGAUACAAUGAAACUUAAAAAAAAAAAAAAAAAACCUCCAAAUUUUCCUUUCGAAAUGAGGUAAUAAGAGGAUUUUUUUUUUUUUCUUUUUUCUUUGCCUCUCUUUCAAAUUUGAUUAACUUCUAUGGAAAACGUAUUUUAACUAGUUAUGGAAAACGGAUUUUUUUUUUAAACUUUUAUAUAAGAUACAAGUAAUACUUUUAAAAAAUUGUGAUAUCUAAAAAAGUUUUUGAAAAAUUAUUUUUAAAGAAAUAAGGUAAAUCUAUACUUUUUGUAUAAGAUCUUCUACCUUUAUAUACAAAUUUCUGAUUUUUUUUUUUAAAGUGUAUCCAAAUGGACACUAAACUAUCUAGUUUUUAAUUGUUACAACUUUGAAUUGGAUUUUAUGGUAAACUAAUUUACAAGUUAAUGCAUGGAUUCAUCUUAGAUUCCAUCUAUAAAUUUUUUUAAUUAUCUAAUAUAAGACAUUAUAUUAAUGGGUUGAAUUAAUAAUGUAAUUAUAAUUUAUUUGGCAACUUUCUUCCUUCAAAUAUAUAAAAUGAAAAUAAAUUUUAAAAAAUAAAAAAGAAUGAAAAAAAUAAAAAAUAAAAAAAGCUUUUUUUUAUAGUUUUUCUAAGAUGAUUUUGUAGAGUACUGUUAGUUUAUAGUUUUAACUUUAUUUCAUUUUACUUUUAACUUUAUUUAUUGAGGUAUGUUCUUUUUUGAAACUCUUGUUUAGAUUUUAUAGAGAAUAUAAAUUUUAAGAAAAAAAAAGGAAAUUUAAAUAAAAUAAGAAUAAAGAAAGGCAAAAGGUGGAUGAAUUUUUUUAAGGCAAAAGUUUGAUAAUUUGGCACUAUCAUGUAAUGGGUGAAAUUUUUAAAUACUCAACAAAGGCUAGUGAAAUUUAAAUUAAAAGCUUGACAUGUACCUUUUCGACCAAAAUCUUUGGAGUUGGUGUAAAGUUUUGAGUAUGAGAGAGGUUAGUCUAGGGAAUAUUAUUGCACAUUUGUUCAAAUAAAACAUCAACAUUUUUUUUUGUUAAAUUCUAAAUGAACACCACUAUAAAUUAAUGCGAUUUUGUAUGCUCAAUUAAAUAAACUCAUUCUUAAGGCAUCACAUGAAGUGUUUAAGUCUAAUUAAUAUUAAUUAAAAAUGAUUAUAUUAAAAAAAAUCCAAAGUAAUUUAUUUUUAUCAUAAGUCAAGUAGGAUAGUUUUAUAAAUAAUUGGUUCUAGUUUCUAGUAUUAUUGUACACAAUCGCUAUGUUUGUUGCACCUCCAAAAAUCUACUACUUGUAAUUAAUUGUAUAUUAUUCUCCAUAUUCACAUCAGUUUAUGUAGUAUGAUUAAUUUAGCAACAAAAUAUAAGUUUACUUGAAAUCGCUUUAAAUUCCUAUGAUAUUAAAGUUUAAGAUUAAAACAAUUUAACAUUAGCCAAAAAGAUUAAGAUCUAUAAUGUAACAUAUAAAAUUUAGAAAAUUCAAGGAAGGGUAAACUCGCACCUGUUCUACCCAGAAGAGUGGCUCAAGUUCACAUUCAGAAUUUAUUUGUUGAAAGAGUAUCUCCACUUUAUCACAAUCGAGCACUUCCAAUUCUUUCAGAAGUGGCCAACUUGAACUAAACUUUCUAGAGCAAAAUCUUUUGAGUUGGUGUAAACCGGAGAGUGUGAGAGAGGUAAGGUUAGGGAAUAAAAGUAAAAGUGCUGCUUCAUCUUCAUUUUCAUUGUGAACAAUUGCCUCCACUCCACUAUAAAAUAUAUUUAGGUUCUCAAGUUGCACAAGAGCACUCGCCACAGAAACCGGAAAAAGGUUUAGCAAUUUGUUGCAUCCCCUUACUUGCAAUUUCCUUAAUUUGGAAAAUGAAUUUGCUGGAAGUUGGUCAGGCCACAAUGCUCUUAUAUUAUCUAGUCCGCAUACAGACACGGACUCCAAGCCUGGGAGUGCAACCUGUGCAAUUGAUGAUCCCUUUAGUUAAUAAUAUAUACAUAUACAUUCCUAAUAAUUAGACACAUGUAAAUAGAAAAUAAGAGGUUAAAGGAGAAUAUAUCAGUAUAACAAAGCACAAAAUUUAAACUAGAUUGAAGAAGAUCAAGAAAGAGAAAAGAAAAGAAAAAGCCUCCAGAUUUUGAAGAUACAAUGAAACUUAAAAAAAAAAAAAAAAAACCUCCAAAUUUUCCUUUUGAAAUGAGGUAAUAAGAGGAUUUUUCUUUGCCUCUCUUUCAAAUUUGAUUAACUUCUAUGGAAAACGUAUUUUAACUAGUUAUGGAAAACGGAUUUUUUUUUUUUAAACUUUUAUAUAAGAUACAAGUAAUACUUUAAAAAAAUUGUGAUAUCUAAAAAAUUUUUUGAAAAAUUAUUUUUAAAGAAAUAAGGUAAAUCUAUACUUUUUGUAUAAGAUGUUCUACCUUUAUAUACAAAUUUCUGAUUUUUUUUUUUUAAAGUGUAUCCAAAUGGACACUAAACUAUCUAGUUUUUAAUUGUUACAACUUUGAAUUGGAUUUUAUGGUAAACUAAUUUACAAGUUAAUGCAUGGAUUCAUCUUAGAUUCCAUCUAUAAAUUUUUUUAAUUAUCUAAUAUAAGACAUUAUAUUAAUGGGUUGAAUUAAUAAUGUAAUUAUAAUUUAUUUGGCAACUUUCUUCCUUCAAAUAUAUAAAAUGAAAAUAAAUUUUAAAAAAUAAAAAAAUGAAAAAAAUAAAAAAUAAAAAAAGAUUUUUUUUUAUAGGUUUUCUAAGAUGAUUUUGUUGAGUACUGUUAGUUUAUUGUUUUAACUUUAUUUCAUUUUACUUUUAACUUUAUUUAUUGAGGUAUGUUCUUUUUUGAAACUCUUGUUUAGAUUUUAUAGAGAAUAUAAAUUUUAAGAAAACAAAUGAAAUUUAAAUAAAAUAAGAAUAAAGAAAGGCAAAAGGUGGAUGAAUUUUUUUAAGGCAAAAGUUUGAUAAUUUGGCACUAUCAUGUAAUGGGUGAAAUUUUUAAAUACUCAACAAAGGCUAGUGAAAUUUAAAUUAAAAGCUUGACAUGUACCUUUUCGACCAAAAUCUUUGGAGUUGGUGUAAAGUUUUGAGUAUGAGAGAGGUUAGUCUAGGGAAUAUUAUUGCACAUUAGUUCAAAUAAAACAUCAACAUCUUUUUUUGUUAAAUUCUAAAUGAACACCACUAUAAAUUAAUGCGAUUUUGUAUGCUCAAUUAAAUAAACUCGUUCUUAAGGCAUCACAUGAAGUGUUUAAGUCUAAUUAAUAUUAAUUAAAAAUGAUUAUAUUAAAAAAAAUCCAAAGUAAUUUUUUUUUAUCAUAAGUCAAGUAGGAUAGUUUUAUAAAUAAUUGGUUCUAGUUUCUAGUAUUAUUGUACACAAUCCCUAUGUUUGUUGCACCUCCAAAAAAUCUACUACUUGUAAUUAAUUGUAUAUUAUUCUCCAUAUUCACAUCAGUUUAUGUAGUAUGAUUAAUUUAGUAACAAAAUAUAAAUUUACUUGAAAUCGCUUUAAAUUCCUAUGAUAUUAAAGUUUAAGAUUAAAACAAUGUAACAUUAGCCAAAAAGAUUAAGAUCUAUAAUGUAACAUAUAAAAUUUAGAAAAUUCAAGGAAGGGUAAACUCGCACCUGUUCUACCCAGAAGAGUGGCUCAAGUUCACAUUCAUAAUUUAUUUGUUGAAAGAGUAUCUCCACUUUAUCACAAUAGAGCACUUCCAAUUCUUUCAAAAGUGGCCAGCUUGAACUAAACCUUCUAGAGCAAAAUCUUUUGAGUUGGUGUAAACCGGCGAGUUCGAGAGAGGUAAGGUUAGGGAAUAAGAGUAAAGGUGCUGCUUCAUCUUCAUUUUCAUUGUGAACAACUGCCUCCACUCCACUCUGCAAUAGAUUUAGGUCCUCAAGUUGCACAGGAGCACUCGCCACAGAAACCGGAAAAAGGUUUAGCAAUUUUUUGCAUCCCUUUACUUGCAAUUUCCUUAAUUUGGAAAAUGAAUUUGCUAGAAGUUGGUCAGGCCACAAUGCUCUUAUAUUAUCUAUGAUAACCACAACAUUCAAACCACCGAGAUUUCCUUGGCUUCUCACUUAUCUUUUCCACCAGAUAAGUGUUUAUCCACUUUAAGAGAUAACUCUUGACUAUUUUUAAAUUUCUGUUAUUGUGUAUUUCAAAUCUCCUUCUGUAAUUGUAUAUAAAUGAGAAUAGCCACCCGGUUUUUGGCAUUGAAGCCAAUACCAUUUUACAGAUUUCUACAGAGUCUUACAUGGUAUCAGAGCAAUUGGCAUACGCCUAAUUUCAAUCGAUCCUUUCCUUCUCAACUAUGGCCUUCUCUUCUUCCGCUUCCUCCAAUGUUAUCUUUGCUCCUCCAAACAUUGGUCAUCUGGUGUCGAUCAAGCUGAGUGACACAAACUAUCUUAUAUGGUCAUCUCAGAUUGUGCCAGUACUGAAAAGUCAUGACUUGAUGGGCUUCAUGGAUGGUUCUGAGCCGUGUCCAUCAAAAUCUCUUGAUGGUUCUCUUAAUCCAGCAUAUAUUCUCUGGAAUAAGAAAGAUCAGUGUGUGUUAAGUUGGAUCAAUGCCACUUUGUCUGACAAGGUGCUAGCUUCUGUUUAUGGCAUCACAUCUGCUCGAGAGGUGUGGAGUUCUCUGGCAAACAAGUUUGCCUCUCAAUCCAGAACCCGUGUACACCACCUAAAGCGAAAGUUGCAGACUCUUCAUCAAGGGUCAAUGAAGUGCACUGAUUUUCUUGAAAAAGCGAAGUUGGUGUCUGAUGAAUUAGCUGCAGUUGGUAAGCCACUUGAGGAUGAUGACUUAAUGUCUUAUAUUGUGAGUGGACUCAACCCAUCCUUUAAUCCCUUUAUAACCUCUCUGUCCUUUGCCACUAGAGACAAAAAUGUUUCUUUUGAAGACUUUCAAGCCGAGCUCUUGUCAUAUGAACUGUUAUUGGAAAACUAGAAUAUUGCUAUACCACCUGAGACAAAUAAUUUUGCUUUCUUCACUCCCAAAUCUAACCAACAACAGUACAAUCGCAAACCCAAAAACCCAAGUAAACCAUAUUCACGUCCUUCAUUUUCACAAAAUCCUCGUCCUCGAUAUUCACCACAACCCUCUGGUUUACCUUCCUCACCUCAGCCAAAUCAGAAGCAGCACUCAUUUUCCACUCCUAAGUCACCUUGUCAAAUCUGUGGAAAGCUAAGUCAUAAGGCAUUAGAUUGCUUUCAUAGAAUGGAUUAUGCAUAUCAGGGUCGUCAUCCACCAACCCAGUUAGCUGCUAUGGUGGCACAUAGCAAUGCUGAGCAAGAGGAAGAGACAUGGUUUGCUGACAGUGGAGCUAAUCAGCACAUUACUGCCAAUCUGGAGCAUCUUACUCUGCAACAACCAUACACAGGACAAGAAAAUGUAGCUAUUGGUAAUGGCCAAGGUUUAAGUAUUGCACAUACUGGUACUACUAUUUUUCAUACUCCUGAAGCUAAAUUAAACCUCAAACGUGUCCUCCAUUGUCCUCAAGCUUCUGCCAAUUUGCUUUCCAUAAAUCAAUUCUGUCUUGAUAAUAAUUGCCUCUUUAUUCUAACUGGUACUCAUUAUUUUGUCAAGGACAUACAAACGGGGGCGACACUACUGGAAGGCAGGAGUGAAGGGGGUCUCUAUCCAAUCCAGUUGCGGUCAAUGUCUAUCAAUAAAUCACAUGCUUUGUCAGCCGUUGUAGGAAUUAAAGCAUCAGUUUCAGUUUGGCAUUCUAGAUUAGGACAUGCAUCUCUUCCCAUUGUGUCUCAGUUAUUAAAUAAACACUCCUUACCUGUUGAAGGAUCAGUGAAUAAAAUGCAUUUUUGUGAACCUUGCCAACUUGGCAAAGGUAAGCAACUUCCUUUCAAACCUUCUACUCGUGUUUCUUCCUUUCCUUUGCAAUUAAUUCAUACUGAUGUAUGGUCUUGUUCUACCAAAUCUCUCAGUGGAUGUAAGUAUUAUGUUAUAUUCAUUGAUGAUUUUUCACGAUUCUCAUGGCUUUAUCCUCUCCAAAAUAAAUCUGAUGUAUAUGCUUGCUUUGUUAAAUUCAAAACACUAGUUGAAAACCAAUUUUCUUGCAAAAUUAAGCAAUUACAAUCGGAUGGAGGUGGAGAAUACAUGUCCAACCAAUUUCAAUUGUUUCUUUCCUCUAAUGGAAUCCAACAUCGCCGCACUUGUCCUCAUACACCCCAACAAAAUGGGGUUGCUGAGCGUAAACACCGUCAUGUGGUGGAAAUGGGACUGUCUCUGUUAGCUCAGUCACUUUUGCCCACUAAAUUCUGGGUUGAUGCCUUUUUAACAUCCAUUUUUCUCAUCAAUAGACUACCAACAUCUACUCUUGAUAACCAAACACCAUAUCUUAAAUUAUUUGGCAAACAUCCUGAUUAUACCUCCUUGCGCACCUUUGGUUGUGCCUGUUUUCCAUUGUUACGGACCAUAUGCAACUCACAAAUUAAUGUUCAGAUCCAAACGUUGCAUAUUUCUAGGUUAUAGUUCCCAUCAAAAUGGAUAUAGAUGCUUGGAUCCUGUCACUCAAAAAGUUCUAAUCUCACGACAUGUUGUGUUUAAUGAGAAUACAUUUCCUGCUAAGGAUGGAUUGCAGUCUUCUGAACUUCUUCCAGUGGUCUCCUCUCAAGGUACGCCUUUACCUUCUCCUUCAUUUUCUUUAUCUACUUCUCAUUUACAGCAUUCCUCUCCAAUCAUUUCAGAUUCACCUGAUUCUCCUCUAGAAUCUUUACCUAUCCCCACUUCUCCUCAUAUCUCCACUCUACCUUCUCCCAUACCUAGUCCAGCUCCUACCCUUUCUAUACCUGAAUUUUCCUCUUCUUCCAAUCACUCUCAUCACCCCAUGACAACUCGCUCCCAAACAGGCAACCUCAAACCUCGCACAUUUUCAGAUUUUAAACUCUAUUCCACCCACUAUCCUCUCCAAGCAUUAUCCAGUACUGUGACUCCCCUUGCACCAACCUCCUACCGACAAGCUGCUUUAUUACCUGACUGGUGUGUUGCUAUGAGAGAGGAAUAUGAUGCUUUAUUGGCUAAUGAGACAUGGAAGCUAUGUCCUAGACCUGUUGAUCAUAAUGUGGUGGGAAAUAAGUGGGUGUAUAAAGUUAAACAAACAUCCACAGGUGAGGUUGACAGAUUCAAAGCAAGAUUAGUGGCUUUGGGAUUUGCUCAAGAAGAAGGUAUUGACUUUACUGAGACUUUUAGUCCAGUAAUUAAGCCUUCUACUGUACGGGUGCUUCUUACACUUUCUGUUCAAUUUGAUUGGGAAAUCAGACAGCUUGAUGUAUCUAACGCUUUUCUUCAUGGGAUCUUGCUAGAGGAUGUAUAUAUGGAGCAACCUAAGGGGUUUGUUAAUUCAGAUUUUCCAGAUUAUGUUUGCAAACUGAACAAGUCACUUUAUGGCCUCAAACAAGCACCUCGUGCUUGGUUUAUGCGUCUAUCUCAAACUCUACUUGAAUUCGGUUUCCUAUCCUCACCAGUGGAUGCCUCCUUAUUUGUCUAUCAUAAGGGCCAUAUUCAUCUAUUUAUCCUCAUCUAUGUAGAUGAUAUCCUUGUUACAGGUACAGAUCCUUCUCUCAUUCAGUCUCUAAUCCAAAAGCUACAAACCGAGUUCAAGAUGAAAGACCUUGGUCCUUUGGGCUAUUUUCUCGGCAUCCAAGCAAGUCGUGACUCUUCUGGCCUACAUCUUCGACAAUCCAAGUACAUUGGGGAUCUUCUUCAUCGUACCAAGAUGGCUGGGGCCAAACCUGCUUCCUCUCCUUGUACCACAGGUCUUAAAUUAUCCACUCAUGUUGGUGAGCCACUCACAGCUUCUCAAAUUACAGAAUAUCGACAAACUGUGGGAGCUCUUCAAUAUUGCACCUUGACUAGACCUGAUAUAGCAUUUUCUGUCAACCAACUAUGUCAACAUAUGCACUGUCCUAAUUCUGUUCAUUGGACAGCAGCAAAACGUGUCUUACGUUACUUAAAAGGCACCAUUGAUCUGGGAUUAUGGUACACUAAGGGCGAGCAAACUCUUCAAGCCUUUUGUGAUUCAGAUUGGGCUGGUAAUCCCGAUGAUCGAAGAUCAACUACUGGGUAUGGCGUUUUCUUUGGCUCUUGCUUAAUCUCAUGGACUGCCAAGAAACAAUCUGUGGUAGCUCGUUCUAGCACUGAAGCCGAAUAUAGGGCAUUAGCUAUUACUACUGCUGAGCUGUAUUGGAUUCGUAUGCUCCUCAAAGAACUUCAUAUUUCUUUGCCCACAGCUCCUACUAUUUGGUGUGAUAACAGUGGCGCUCUUGCUCUUGCUUCUAAUCCUGUGUUUCAUGCCCGCACCAAACAUAUUGAAGUUGAUUUUCACUUCAUCCGCGAGAAAGUUGCUAAUCGAGAUAUUUCCCUUCAGUUCAUCGGUUCUUAUGAUCAGCCUGCUGAUAUCUUUACAAAGGGACUAAGUUUAGCUCGGUUUUGUUUGCUUCGUGACAAGCUAAUGGUGGUUUCUCUCCCCAUUAGCUUGAGGGGGGAUGAUAACCACAACAUUCAAACCACCGAGAUUUCCUUGGCUUCUCACUUAUCUUAUCCACCAGAUAAGUGUUUAUCCACUUUAAGAGAUAACUCUUGACUAUUUUUAAAUUUCUGUUAUUGUGUAUUUCAAAUCUCCUUCUGUAAUUGUAUAUAAAUGAGAAUAGCCACCCGGUUUUUGGCAUUGAAGCCAAUACCAUUUUACAGAUUUCUACAGAGUCUUACAAUCUAGUCCGCCUACAGAAAAGGACUCCAAGCCUGGGAGUGCAACCUGUGCAAUUGAUGAUCCCUUUAGUUAAUAAUAUAUACAUAUACAUUCCUAAUAAUUAGACACAUGUAAAUAGAAAAUAAGAGGUUAAAGGAGAAUAUAUCAGUAUAACAAAGCACAAAAUUUAAACUAGAUUCAAGAAGAUCAAGAAAGAGAAAAUAAAAGAAAAAGCCUCCAGAUUUUGAAGAUACAAUGAAACUUAAAAAAAAAAAAAAAAAACCUCCAGAUUUUCCUUUCGAAAUGAGGUAAUAAGAGGAUUUUCUUUUUCUUUUUUCUUUGCCUCUUUUUCAAAUUUGAUUAACUUCUAUGGAAAACGUAUUUUAACUAGUUAUGGAAAACGGAUUUUUUUAAAAAAACUUUUAUAUAAGAUACAAGUAAUACUUUAAAAAAGUUGUGAUAUCUAAAAAAUUUUUGUAAAAAUUAUUUUUAAAGAAAUAAGGUAAAUCUAUACUUUUUGUAUAAGAUGUUCUACCUUUAUAUACAAAUUUUUGAUUUUUUUUUUUUAAGUGUAUCCAAAUGGACACUAAACUAUCUAGUUUUUAAUUGUUACAACUUUGAAUUGGAUUUUAUGGUAAACUAAUUUACAAGUUAAUGCAUGGAUUCAUCUUAGAUUCCAUCUAUAAAUUUUUUUAAUUAUCUAAUAUAAGACAUUAUAUUAAUGGGUUGAAUUAAUAAUGAAAUUAUAAUUUAUUUGGCAACUUUCUUCCUUCAAAUAUAUAAAAUGAAAAUAAAUUUUAAAAAAUAAAAAAAAUGAAAAAAAUAAAAAAUAAAAAAAGAUUUUUUUUAUAGUUUUUCUAAGAUGAUUUUGUAGAGUACUGUUAGUUUAUAGUUUUAACUUUAUUUCAUUUUACUUUUAACUUUAUUUAUUGAGGUAUGUUCUUUUUUGAAACUCUUGUUUAGAUUUUAUAGAGAAUAUAAAUUUUAAGAAAAAAAAUGAAAUUUAAAUAAAAUAAGAAUAAAGAAAGGCAAAAGGUGGAUGAAUUUUUUUAAGGCAAAAGUUUGAUAAUUUGGCACUAUCAUGUAAUGGGUGAAAUUUUUAAAUACUCAACAAAGGCUAGUGAAAUUUAAAUUAAAAGCUUGACAUGUACCUUUUCGACCAAAAUCUUUGGAGUUGGUGUAAAGUUUUGAGUAUGAGAGAGGUUAGUCUAGGGAAUAUUAUUGCACAUUAGUUCAAAUAAAACAUCAACAUCUUUUUUUGUUAAAUUCUAAAUGAACACCACUAUAAAUUAAUGCGAUUUUGUAUGCUCAAUUAAAUAAACUCGUUCUUAAGGCAUCACAUGAAGUGUUUAAGUCUAAUUAAUAUUAAUUAAAAAUGAUUAUAUUAAAAAAAAUCAAAAGUAAUUUUUUUUUAUCAUAAGUCAAGUAGGAUAGUUUUAUAAAUAAUUGGUUCUAGUUUCUAGUAUUAUUGUAGACAAUCGCUAUGUUUGUUGCACCUCCAAAAAAUCUACUACUUGUAAUUAAUUGUAUAUUAUUCUCCAUAUUCACAUCAGUUUAUGUAGUAUGAUUAAUUUAGCAACAAAAUAUAAGUUUACUUGAAAUCGCUUUAAAUUCCUAUGAUAUUAAAGUUUAAGAUUAAAACAAUGUAACAUUAGCCAAAAAGAUUAAGAUCUAUAAUGUAACAUAUAAAAUUUAGAAAAUUCAAGGAAGGGUAAACUCGCACCUGUUCUACCCAGAAGAGUGGCUCAAGUUCACAUUCAGAAUUUAUUUCUUGAAAGAGUAUCUCCACUUUAUCACAAUCGAGCACUUUCAAUUCUUUCAGAAGUGGCCAGCUUGAACUAAACCUUUUUGAGCAAAAUCUUUUGAGUUGGUGUAAACCGGAGAGUGUGAGAGAGGUAAGGUUAGGGAAUAAGAGUAAAGGUGCUGCUUCAUCUUCAUUUUCAUUGGCAACAAUUGCCUCCACUCCACUCUUCGAUAUAUAUAGGUCCUCAAGUUGCACAAGGGCACUCGCCACAGAAACCAGAAAAAG